AUUAGAGUUUGAUCCUGGCUCAGGAUGAACGCUAGCGACAGGCUUAACACAUGCAAGUCGAGGGGCAGCAUAAAAGUAGCAAUACUUUGGUGGCGACCGGCGCACGGGUGAGUAACGCGUAUGCAACCUACCUAUCAGAGGGGAAUAACCCGGCGAAAGUCGGACUAAUACCGCAUAAAACAGGGACACCGCAUGGUGAUAUUUGUUAAAGAAAUUCGCUGAUAGAUGGGCAUGCGUUCCAUUAGGUAGUUGGUGAGGUAACGGCUCACCAAGCCGACGAUGGAUAGGGGAACUGAGAGGUUGGUCCCCCACACUGGUACUGAGACACGGACCAGACUCCUACGGGAGGCAGCAGUGAGGAAUAUUGGUCAAUGGGCGAGAGCCUGAACCAGCCAAGUCGCGUGAAGGAAGAAGGAUCUAUGGUUCGUAAACUUCUUUUGCAAGGGAAUAAAGUGCAGGACGUGUCCUGUUUUGUAUGUACCCUGAGAAUAAGGAUCGGCUAACUCCGUGCCAGCAGCCGCGGUAAUACGGAGGAUCCGAGCGUUAUCCGGAUUUAUUGGGUUUAAAGGGUGCGUAGGUGGUUUGAUAAGUCAGCGGUGAAAGUUUGCAGCUUAACUGUAAAAAUGCCGUUGAAACUGUCGGACUUGAGUGUAAAUGAGGUAGGCGGAAUGCGUGGUGUAGCGGUGAAAUGCUUAGAUAUCACGCAGAACUCCGAUUGCGAAGGCAGCCCCCUGGGAUAAUACUGACGCUCAUGCACGAAAGCGUGGGGAGCAAACAGGAUUAGAUACCCUGGUAGUCCACGCCCUAAACGAUGUCAACUAGCUGUUGGGGCCUUCGGGUCUUAGUAGCGCAGCUAACGCGUGAAGUUGACCGCCUGGGGACUACGGUCGCAAGACUAAAACUCAAAGGAAUUGACGGGGACCCGCACAAGCGGUGGAUGAUGUGGAUUAAUUCGAUGCAACGCGAAAAACCUUACCUACCCUUGACAUGUCUGGAAUCCCGAAGAGAUUUGGGAGUGCUCGCAAGAGAACCGGAACACAGGUGCUGCAUGGCUGUCGUCAGCUCGUGUCGUGAGAUGUUGGGUUAAGUCCCGCAACGAGCGCAACCCUUGUCAUUAGUUGCUACGAAAGGGCACUCUAAUGAGACUGCCGGUGACAAACCGGAGGAAGGUGGGGAUGACGUCAAGUCCUCAUGGCCCUUAUGGGUAGGGCUUCACACGUCAUACAAUGGUCGGGACAGAGGGUCGCCAACCCGCGAGGGGGAGCCAAUCUCAGAAACCCGAUCGUAGUCCGGAUUGUAGGCUGCAAUUCGCCUACAUGAAGUCGGAAUCGCUAGUAAUCGCGGAUCAGCAUGCCGCGGUGAAUACGUUCCCGGGCCUUGUACACACCGCCCGUCACACCAUGAGAGUUUGUAACACCCAAAGUCGGUGGGGUAACCUUUUAGGAACCAGCCGCCUAAGGUGGGACAGAUGAUUAGGGUGAAGUCGUAACAAGGUAACCAAU
RNAcentral lists this ribosomal RNA (1502 nucleotides) under uncultured bacterium. Its description in RNAcentral is "bacterial SSU rRNA". It matches the Rfam family "Bacterial small subunit ribosomal RNA". The record is from RNAcentral.